AACGAACGCUGGCGGCAUGCCUAACACAUGCAAGUCGAACGAGACCUUCGUGUCUAGUGGCGCUCAGGUGCGUCACGCGUCGGACCCUGCCCUUAGGCUCGGAAUACCACUCCGAAAGGGGUGCUAACACCGGAUAAUGUCUUCGGACCCAAGAUUUAUCGCGUUUGGAUGGGCCCGCGUUGGUUUAGCUUGUUGCUAGGGUAAAAGCCUAUCACGGCGUCGAUCCAUAGCUGGUCAGAGGGGAUGAGCAGCCACACUGGGACUGGGACACGGCCGAGACUCUUGCGGGAGGCAGGAGAGGCGGAUAUAGGAAUAUGGGCGAAAGGCAGAACCAGCAAGGGCGGGAGAGUGAUGAAGGCGGGAGGGAUGAACAGCUCUUUUACCCGGGGUGAUAAUGACGGUACCGGGAGAAUAAGCUCCGGCUAACUCCGUG
RNAcentral lists this ribosomal RNA (433 nucleotides) under uncultured bacterium. RNAcentral's name for it is "partial 16S ribosomal RNA". It matches the Rfam family "Bacterial small subunit ribosomal RNA", at positions 29 to 507 of the family's 1533-position model. The record is from RNAcentral.